Molecule: ribosomal RNA, 519 nt
Filed under: uncultured bacterium
Lineage: Bacteria
Description: bacterial SSU rRNA
Rfam family: Bacterial small subunit ribosomal RNA
Source: RNAcentral
GAGUUUGAUCCUGGCUCAGGAUGAACGCUGGCGGCGUGCUUAACACAUGCAAGUCGAACGAAGCACUUUACCUGAUUUCCUUCGGGGAUGAUUGUUCUGUGACUGAGUGGCGGACGGGUGAGUAACGCGUGGAUAACCUGCCUCAUACAGGGGGAUAACAGUUAGAAAUGACUGCUAAUACCGCAUAAGACCACAGCACCGCAUGGUGCAGGGGUAAAAACUCCGGUGGUAUGAGAUGGACCCGCGUCUGAUUAGGUAGUUGGUGGGGUAACGGCCUACCAAGCCGACGAUCAGUAGCCGACCUGAGAGGGUGACCGGCCACAUUGGGACUGAGACACGGCCCAAACUCCUACGGGAGGCAGCAGUGGGGAAUAUUGCACAAUGGGGGAAACCCUGAUGCAGCGACGCCGCGUGAGCGAUGAAGUAUUUCGGUAUGUAAAGCUCUAUCAGCAGGGAAGAAAAUGACGGUACCUGAUUAAGAAGCACCGGCUAAAUACGUGCCAGCCGCCGCGGUAAUAC